UACCCAAUCCUAAUACAGGGAGGUAGUGACAAGAAAUAACAAUACAGGACUUUUUGGUUUUGUAAUUGGAAUGAGUUAAGUAUAAACCCCUUUACAAGUAUCAAUUGGAGGGCAAGUCUGGUGCCAGCAGCCGCGGUAAUUCCAGCUCCAAUAGCGUAUAUUAAAGUUGUUGCAGUUAAAAAGCUCGUAGUUGGAUUUCUGUUAAUAAUUUAUAUAAAAUAUUUUGAUGAAUAUUUAUAUAAUAUUAACAUAAUUCA
This 257-nucleotide ribosomal RNA is filed under the name Cryptosporidium parvum. Its description in RNAcentral is "partial small subunit ribosomal RNA". It matches the Rfam family "Eukaryotic small subunit ribosomal RNA", at positions 442 to 700 of the family's 1831-position model. Lineage: Eukaryota; Apicomplexa; Conoidasida; Eucoccidiorida; Cryptosporidiidae. The record is from RNAcentral.